CCUACGGGCGGCAGCAGUGGGGAAUAUUGGACAAUGGGCGAAAGCCUGAUCCAGCCAUGCCGCGUGUGUGAAGAAGGCCUUCGGGUUGUAAAGCACUUUCAGUGGGGAAGAAAGCCUUGGGGCUAAUACCCUCGAGGAAGGACAUCACCCACAGAAGAAGCACCGGCUAACUCCGUGCCAGCAGCCGCGGUAAUACGGAGGGUGCGAGCGUUAAUCGGAAUUACUGGGCGUAAAGCGCGCGUAGGCGGUCUGAUAAGCCGGUUGUGAAAGCCCCGGGCUCAACCUGGGAACGGCAUCCGGAACUGUCAGGCUAGAGUGCAGGAGAGGAAGGUAGAAUUCCCGGUGUAGCGGUGAAAUGCGUAGAGAUCGGGAGGAAUACCAGUGGCGAAGGCGGCCUUCUGGACUGACACUGACGCUGAGGUGCGAAAGCGUGGGUAGCAAACAGUAUUAGAUACCCCGGUAGUC
RNAcentral lists this ribosomal RNA (465 nucleotides) under Vreelandella stevensii. RNAcentral's name for it is "partial 16S ribosomal RNA". It matches the Rfam family "Bacterial small subunit ribosomal RNA", at positions 338 to 795 of the family's 1533-position model. Lineage: Bacteria; Pseudomonadati; Pseudomonadota; Gammaproteobacteria; Oceanospirillales; Halomonadaceae. The record is from RNAcentral.